RNAcentral lists this ribosomal RNA (200 nucleotides) under uncultured bacterium. RNAcentral's name for it is "partial 16S ribosomal RNA". It matches the Rfam family "Bacterial small subunit ribosomal RNA", at positions 8 to 232 of the family's 1533-position model. The record is from RNAcentral.
AGAGUUUGAUCCUGGCUCAGAGCGAACGCUGGCGGCAUGCCUAACACAUGCAAGUCGCACGGGAGGAGCGAUCCUUCAGUGGCGGACGGGUGAGUAACGCGUGGGAAUCUGUCUCCGGGUGGGGGAUAACGAUGGGAAACUAUCGCUAAUACCGCAUGAAGCCUGAGGGCCAAAGGCGCAAGCCGCCUGGAGAGGAGCCC